Molecule: transfer RNA, 71 nt
Filed under: Dipodomys ordii (Ord's kangaroo rat)
Lineage: Eukaryota; Metazoa; Chordata; Mammalia; Rodentia; Heteromyidae
Rfam family: tRNA
About the family: Transfer RNA (tRNA) molecules are approximately 80 nucleotides in length. Their secondary structure includes four short double-helical elements and three loops (D, anti-codon, and T loops).
Source: Rfam by way of RNAcentral
GAUGGAAUGAUUCAAGUGUAGAAUGUCUGCUUAGCAAGCAUGAGGUCCUGAGUUCAAACUCAGUAUUGCCA